Molecule: non-coding RNA, 116 nt
Filed under: human gut metagenome
Description: THF riboswitch
Rfam family: THF (Tetrahydrofolate) riboswitch aptamer
About the family: THF riboswitch presents a pseudoknot that joins P1-P2 and the loop of P3 and two THF binding.
Source: RNAcentral
GCAGAGUAAGGUGUCGCGCGUCAGUUCCUUUUGGAACGCAGUGCUGUCGGGACGGGGAGUUGUCCGGCGGACGAAAAACGCAUCGCGUUUGCGGUGCGGCGCCUGGAUCCCGCUGC